CCGAGUGAGGGCCUCCGGGGCCCGACCUCCAACCCUUUGUGAACACACCCGUUGCUUCGGGGGCGACCCCUGCCGUUUCGACGGCGAAGCGCCCCCCGGAGGUCUUCCAACACUGCAUCUUUGGCGUCGGAGUUUAAGGAAAUGAAAACA
This 150-nucleotide unclassified non-coding RNA is filed under the name soil metagenome. Its description in RNAcentral is "partial internal transcribed spacer 1". The record is from RNAcentral.